RNAcentral lists this ribosomal RNA (396 nucleotides) under uncultured bacterium. RNAcentral describes it as "partial 16S ribosomal RNA". It matches the Rfam family "Bacterial small subunit ribosomal RNA", at positions 523 to 918 of the family's 1533-position model. The record is from RNAcentral.
AUACGUAGGUGGCAAGCGUUGUCCGGAAUUAUUGGGCGUAAAGCGCAUGUAGGCGGUGCCUUAAGUCUGUCGUGAAACUGCGGGGCUCAGCCCCGUAUGGCGAUGGAAACUGGGUUACUUGAGUGCAGGAGAGGAAAGGGGAACUCCCAGUGGAGCGGUGAAAUGCGUAGAUAUUGGGAAGAACACCGGUGGCGAAGGCGCCUUUCUGGACUGUGUCUGACGCUGAGAUGCGAAAGCCAGGGUAGCGAACGGGAUUAGAUACCCCGGUAGUCCUGGCCGUAAACGAUGGGUACUAGGUGUGGGAGGUAUCGACCCCUUCCGUGCCGGAGUUAACGCAAUAAGUACCCCGCCUGGGGAGUACGGCCGCAAGGCUUAAACUCAAAGGAAUUGACGGGG